This 409-nucleotide ribosomal RNA is filed under the name uncultured bacterium. RNAcentral's name for it is "bacterial SSU rRNA". It matches the Rfam family "Bacterial small subunit ribosomal RNA", at positions 355 to 776 of the family's 1533-position model. The record is from RNAcentral.
UGGGGAAUUUUCCGCAAUGGGCGAAAGCCUGACGGAGCAAUACCGCGUGAGGGAUGAAGGCCUAUGGGUUGUAAACCUCUUUUUUCAGGGAGGAACAAAAUGACGUGUACCUGAAGAAUAAGCAUCGGCUAACUCCGUGCCAGCAGCCGCGGUAAGACGGGGGAUGCAAGUGUUAUCCGGAAUCACUGGGCGUAAAGCGUCUGUAGGUGGUUAAGUAAGUCAACUUGUUAAAUCUUGAGGCUUAACCUCAAAAUCGCAGUCGAAACUACUUGACUAGAGUAUAGUAGGGGUAAAGGGAAUGUCCAGUGGAGCGGUGAAAUGCGUAGAUAUUGGAAGGAACACCGAUGGCGAAGGCACUUUACUGGGCUAUUACUAACACUGAGAGACGAAAGCUAGGGUAGCAAAUGGG